AUCACUUCUCGGCCUUUUGGCUAAGAUCAAGUGUAGUAUCUGUUCUUAUCAGUUUAAUAUCUGAUACAUCCUCUAUAUGAGGACUACAUAUUAAAUUGAUUUUUAGGACAGGGAGACGGAAGAGGUCCGCUUGCUCCGUCCACUCCGCGCAUCGAGGGGCAGUCAUG
This is a small nuclear RNA of Pygocentrus nattereri (red-bellied piranha), 167 nucleotides long. Its record names the gene U2. It matches the Rfam family "U2 spliceosomal RNA". Rfam says of the family: U2 is a small nuclear RNA (snRNA) component of the spliceosome (involved in pre-mRNA splicing). Complementary binding between U2 snRNA (in an area lying towards the 5' end but 3' to hairpin I) and the branchpoint sequence (BPS) of the intron results the bulging out of an unpaired adenosine, on the BPS, which initiates a nucleophilic attack at the intronic 5' splice site, thus starting the first of two transesterification reactions that mediate splicing. The record is from Ensembl. NCBI's taxonomy places the organism in Eukaryota, Metazoa, Chordata, Actinopteri, Characiformes, Serrasalmidae.